CUUCCCUCAGGCCUUGUCAGCUUCCCCGGGUCCCGGCGGCUAGCGAGGGCAGGGGAAAAGGCGAGAGAAGGGGGGGAGGGGAGGGGAGCCGGGGACCGGGGCCGGGGAGGGGAAGGGGGGAGCGCGCGGGGCAGGGCGAGUCUCCGAGUCACCACAGCAGGAACAGCAACCGCCCGACACUUCCCUCCGCAACCUCCAUAGAGGGCCGCCUCGCCGUCGCGUCUAGCGCGCACCGAGCCGGCCCCACUAACUUUAUUACCCUUCACGCAACCUACCCCACCUGCCGCCAACGGUCGCCAAUCGCUGCGAAGGGCUCCGCCUGCCCUGCCAAUCACAACGGAGGAAGGGGGUGGCCUCAACGUCCAAGUGGGAGGAGGAGGGAGAGAGUUUGGUUGAACCGUGCCAUCGCCGCAGUGCAGCACCCGUAUUCGCGAAAGCAUUUACGCCGCAUAGGUGGCGGUAGGGCAUAAGGGGGAAAGGGAAAUUUGCGCAAGUGGCGUACCUGGUUAAUGGCGGCAGCUUGGCUGCGUCUCUCCUUCCCUGUUUGUUCCUGUGCUUCAAGCAUCACCGAACCCCCAGUUCUAGAGGCCUAGAGUGAGGAAGACUGCAUAUAUAUUUCCAGUAUGGUUUGGGGAAAAAAAAACAAACGCACAACAGUGACCAUCUUCUCAGAUCAGCUGGCUAAGCGUGCCAGACAACAUUGUGCAAUGUUCUGUUUCAGACAUUGGUGAGCACCAAAUUUACAGUAAGAUUUGGAAGAGAAAAGGAAGAAGAGAACCAAAAACAUUAUCAGAGUUUGGCCUGAAUCAGGCCAAAAAUCUGAAGAUGCUUAGACUUUAGGAAGGAGCUAGAAAUUACUCUGAAGCCAGCUUUUACUAACCUGCCAGCAAGGUCUCAGAAUCAGCGAGUAUGAGGAUUCAGACGAAGCUUUUGCAGACAGAAAUUUUAUUGGAGAGUAAACAAACAAAACUGUAAUGUCAGAAAUCUCACUCCUCAGUCUUGCUAGAGCUGUUCUUAAAAGUGUUGGCACUGAUGUUUCAAACUGUUCUUUCUUUUACAAGAAACGAAGUUGGCACUUCCACUGUCACAUCUCAGAAUUGCUCACUCAGCUCUUGAAGGAAAAUCACUGCUAAUGAAACUGGGGUUGUCUGACCGAAAAAAAAAAAAAAAAGUCCUGAGAACACUGUUGGUUUCCUUUUGAUGUCACUUGAUGAUCUAGCUUCAUAUGAUGCCAUUUCCGCUGUAUGGUGUUAUGACCAUGUUAUUAUAGUGUUAUUAACAAAUGUGUAUUGUUGAAAUAGAUAACAACUGCCAUUAAUCGUUUCUAAAGAAUUGUGGUCAGACUAUUAAAAUACUGAUCUUUGCUUUCAUGGACUGUUUUUUUUUUUAAAGGGAGAGUCUGAAGGGC
Cygnus olor (mute swan) is the source of this 1408-nucleotide long non-coding RNA. RefSeq lists it as uncharacterized. The record is from RefSeq and is a predicted model, not a curated record. NCBI's taxonomy places the organism in Eukaryota, Metazoa, Chordata, Aves, Anseriformes, Anatidae. The transcript has 5 exons.